Pseudopipra pipra is the source of this 4684-nucleotide long non-coding RNA. RefSeq lists it as uncharacterized. NCBI's taxonomy places the organism in Eukaryota, Metazoa, Chordata, Aves, Passeriformes, Pipridae. The transcript has 2 exons. The record is from RefSeq and is a predicted model, not a curated record.
GUUGUUCCUGUUGUGUGGGCCAGUGGAAUUGCAGGAGAGUGGAAGAGGGCAGAACCUGUAGGUAUUACCCCUACUGUGGGAUCUCUCCUGGUAAGGCAAACCCAGUAUUCUUUAAAAUCAGAAUGCCAGACUGGAUUGGUUGCAGGAACAGCUGAAUUUGCUCCUCCUGGUUUGCUUGUAGAAGGUGAAUGCCAGAACCUGCCAAGAAACCAAUGGCCAAGGGGAUUGAUUAGUGCAGGACCUGAGAGAACCCCCUGAAAUGACAACCUGGAGUAGUUUCCAGGAUUAGAUUGCAAAGAUGGCAUUUGCUGCAUGUCCUUGAGCAAGGAAAGCCAAGAAACCUUUGCUUUUGCAGGAGAAAAUCUGGAAAGCGGGCAGGAAGAAGAGAAGCCCCCUGACUCCUCCCUGAGCCCCAGACAGCCCCUGAACUGCCUUGCUGGGAAUGUGGGAUGGAGCCUGGAAACUGCACAGAGCUGAGCCAAGGGAUUGAAAGGGACCAACCAAGGGAGGUGAAGAAAGAAGGAAGAAGGGGAAGUGAGGCAGCAGCCAAGCAGCACCAAGUUGCUGUGUAAGCAGGUGAGUUGUGUUGAGGUUCCUCAGGCAGGCACUGAGGACUUUGAGGGCUCCAGACAGAGAAGACCUGGGAAGGCCCUCGGUGAAGCCCCUCAGAGACCUUCUAAGGGUAGGUGUGUGUGGUGAUAAGUGUUGGGAUUGUCCUGAAUGUGGAACAGGAAUGCAGGGAAGCAAAAUGAACCCUCCUGUAAUGCUGCCAUAUCAGCUGCAGUGGAGACACCUGUGUGUGCCCUUUGGGAUCUGAUUGCCAGGACCCCCGUGGGGCUGGGAUCAUGGCAGGGUGUUGUAAGCAAGGAAUGCCUGGCUUGGAAAACUCACCAGCUGAGUCUUAGAGGCUUCUUUGAAGAGCUGAUUUCAGGCAGCAGAAUUGGCCCCCAGGAGGGACUCUGUGCCUGCUCUCCCGUGGCUCCAAGGGAUCUCUGGCCCUUCACGCCGGCACCGAGAUUUUCUCGGGAAGGGCCUCAGAUCCCCAGACCGGUCUGGGACACAGGCAAGAUCCCCCUGCAGUUUAGGACCAAAUUGGGCCCCUGGAGGGACAGUGCUGUUGGUGCCCCCCGGGUUGGGGCACCCCGAGGACUCCAGCGCGCACCGAAAGGAUUAUUCGGGGAGAUCCUCGGGGUGCCCGGCCCUGGGGAGCUCAAAGCAAGGUCCCUGCAAUGGAUUCAGGCAUUGCUGAGAGUAUCCCAGGGGUCCCUGUCCCUGCUAGACAUGGAGCUCUCUAAUGGGCUGGAAUUGGGUGAUAAAAGUGGUGCUCCAAGUGCCAAAGAAGUGUGGGAUUGGGAUUAAGAAAUGAGCAGUGAUGGUGCAAUUGGCUGUUUUCUCUGGAAUGUGACUGUGAGAGCUGCAGGAGUGCCAGGUGUGUGUUCCAGUCCCCAGCAUUUGGUUUGCACCUGUCCUGGUCAGACACAGGUCCAACUUGCUCAGUCCUUAACACAAGAGAGGGAGAAUGAAGGACUGGCACUGUUUAGGUGAUUGGUGUGACAGGGGUUAAACUGUGAAAACAUUGGGUAGUUCUUGAGUUUGUCUGUUUGCCAAACUCACCCAAACCUCUGAUAGGAAGAGAUGGACUGGAGUCUCUGCUCCCCUGGGCAGUUGUUCUGCAUGACCUGGGAGCCUCUGGGAUUACACUGGACUGGGCAGACAGGGAGCAGUUUGUCCUGUGGAGGUGGGCUGGGUUAGUUCAGGAUGCCUUGGGAGGCAGGGCUGGAGAGGCUCCUCUGUUGGCUGUAGUGCUGGAAGGUUGUAGCAGGAGUGCUGGAGCCCUUCGACCUCCUGCUCCCCCCGUGAGCCCCGCCGGGCCCGUGCCCUUGGCAAUGGAGGGCCCCCCAUUGCUGAGCCAGCGGUUCCGGGGCCAGGAGGGAUGGGAUCAGGAUGCCGAGCUCCACCCAGGGCCAGGGCUGCCAGUGUUCAACCAUGGAGAGAACUGAGAGCAGAGUGAGAUGGAGGCCAAGCUCCAGCACAGGGAUGGGUGAGAAAAGACCCUGGUCCUCAGGUGGAGCUUUGAAUUCCCUGGAAAAAUGGAUCCUGUCAGAUGGUUCAGGCCCUUGUGGGUGCUGGAGCAGAGGCCUCUGUGAUUUAUGGUCACCCUGAAAGGUUGCAAGGACAGCAAGUUCUGACUGCAGGAUGAGGCGGCAAACAAAGUGAAGUGGUCCAGAGAAAAGCUGAGGCUAAAAUUGGUGCUGUGCCAGAGCAGCCUCGUGCAGUGCUUGUUGCUGUCCUGAGUGUCCCAUUGCAGGGGAUAUUCCCAAGGGUGCCUUGUGCUGGGGAACACUGGGGGCAGUUCCCUUUCCCUGGGCAGGGCAGGCAGGGCACGUUUCCCCCCUCGAGGGUGGCUCCACAGUCCCCCCCUGUGCCCUGGGAGCGUGGCAGAACACCUGGAGCCACUGUCCUUGUCAGAGAGGGCAAAGGGAUGGUUGGAUGGGGGAGGGAAUGGUUCAGGGAGUACAAGCACCAUUAGAGUGAGUAGUGCAGCACAUGGAAAAGAAGGGGGGAGUUAAUCCAGACAAAAUCCAAGCACCUGCCCAACCUGUGAUAUUUUUAGGAACUCAGUGGUGCUGUGGUCCCCAGGAAGUAUUGCCCAGGACUAGGCAGGAGACUUCAGGCUUGGUCACCCCCAGAGCAAGUCUCCAGGGGCAGGCAGUGGGGAGGCAGCUCUGCUGUUGAGGAUGGGGUUAUUUUCUCUGCUUUAUUUUGUCUCCAGGGAUAUUCUGCCCAUUAGUCCAAACUGCCUCCGUCUCCUAACUCUCUGAAGAGGUUUUCUGCUUUUUGUGGGAGGGUAAGGUUUGGAUUCUAACUAUAGAAGAGCCAACAAAAUAAAGGCUUCGUGGCAAACAAAUGGUGUCUCCCAAACUCUUUGUACUUCAAAUAGAUGCCUUUAUUCUUAUUUUUUUCUUAUUGGUAUUCUCAAGGUGUUUAAUACCCUGUCUACAGUUAUUUAUUUUGGCUUCUCUUUUUUAUUUGUUACAAAGUUGAUGUGACUGACUCCUUUUUGAAAUCCAGCAGUGCUCUCAAGGAUAUUUCCCCCCCCACUCCUGGGCUUGUGCAGGGCUGUUGAGUCCGUGUGUGCCGCUGUCAGCUUUGCUUCUCUGUUUGCUUGGUUGGCUCCUGUUAGGAGAAGGUUUGUUUCCUCCACUGUAAUAAUUCAGGGAAAUCCUGAGGUAUGAUUUAAGAAAGAAAGUCAUGAACUAUUGCAACAAAUGUGAAUCUGAGAGUGCCUAAAAGCUGUUACUGAAUUCCAUUUCCAGGGACUGUCCUGGUGGGGAUAAUCCAGAACUGCAGCUUUGAUGUUUAAAAAGGAGCCUGUGGUACUUCUUGUUUCCUGUGCUGGGCUUUCCUUGAACAGUGCCCAGGGAGGGGAGCAGCAACAGCUUCACUUGGAAGUGGACUCUGGUUUUUAAGCACAUCCUAAGCUCAGUGUGGUUUUGGUAUCACUAAGUACUUAUUUUAUUUGCCAUUUGUCUUAAAUUGUAUACACCUUUGAAGUGCCAGCUGUGUUUUGAAGACAUUCUUACAGUUGUUUCAAGUGAAAUUUGGAAUGUUACAAAUUUAGAAAGAGAUGAUUUUCCUGUGAAUAAACUACUAAAACAAAGGGGGGAGUGAGGAAAGCCAAGUUCAGGAGAUAACCUUACAAACUGGUUUUGGAAGUUGCUUACCUAAAUAGCCCAAAUUGGUUGGAGCUGCAGCACAAACGGGGGGGAGAAGGAGAGGUUUUGUAUUUUGACAGUUCUUUCAGUUUUUUGCAGGGACUACUGCCAGGUUCUCUUUGAAGUCCAAACCCCAUUAGCAUGGGGAAAUGUGUGUUUGGCUUUAGAAAUAGGAGUUUAUAUUUCCCUUUGAACUAGAGGAAUGUUUCUAUGUCUUUGAAUUUUAAAUUGCAUUUGAAGCAGAAAUAUGUUUGUGUUUUACAGGUGAUAUUUUCAUGAAAAUAGAAAUGCAUCAUUGGAUCUUACUCUUCUGAGGGCAAACCACCAGCCUGAUCAUUUCUUAGUCCCUCAAACCCAGUGCCAUGAACUCCAAGGGGUCUUUGGGUGCAAAUGUGUGGAGUGGUGGUGGCCCCCGUGAGAUGUGACCAGCUGGAAAUGUGUGUGUGUGUGUGUGCAGAGCUGGGCUGGAUCCCUUGGGAUUUGGCUCCCAGAUCCCCCCCAGCCUUCAGGAAAACUAGAGGCCACCGAACCCUGAGGGAAGGGAGUCCCAUCUGCAGAAGGGUUUUUAGGUUGGGGAAAAGCUCCAGAACAAAGCCUGGGUUCAAAACACCUUCAGCAAAAGUCAAGGAGCACAGACCCUGAAGUCAUCAAGUUAUGGAGUUUGGUUCAAACCAUUUGCUUCUCAGUCAGUUUGAAUGAAGUGUUAAAAGGAGAACUUAAAUAAGGUUAAUUUCUGAUAGAGAACAAUGGGAAGAAGUCAAGUGGUUUAAGUUCAUUAAACAUGUUUUAUAUCAGUCCAUGGUUAUUUAAUUGAGCAUUGUUUGGAAUUUUUCUUUUUGCAUUUGUUCCUUGUGUGCUUUUCUCUAUCUAAGGGAUGGUUGGAGGUCUUUCUGAUUGGUUGAAUGUUUUUAAUGUCAGUGCUAGACUGGGGUGGACAGUCAUUGUACCAUGAUUUAGAGUUUGAUGCA